GACGAACGCUGGCGGCGUGCUUAACACAUGCAAGUCGAACGGUAAGGCCCUUCGGGGUACACGAGUGGCGAACGGGCGAGUAACACGUGGGUGAUUUGCCCUGCACUUCGGGAUAAGCCUGGGAAACUGGGUCUAAUACCGGAUAGGACCACUGCCUGCAUGGGUGGUGGUGGAAAGCUUUUGCGGUGUGGGAUGGGCCCGCGGCCUAUCAGCUUGUUGGUGGGGUGAUGGCCUACCAAGGCGACGACGGGUAGCCGGCCUGAGAGGGUGACCGGCCACACUGGGACUGAGAUACGGCCCAGACUCCUACGGGAGGCAGCAGUGGGGAAUAUUGCACAAUGGGCGCAAGCCUGAUGCAGCGACGCCGCGUGAGGGAUGACGGCCUUCGGGUUGUAAACCUCUUUCAGCACCGACGAAGCGCGAGUGACGGUAGGUGCAGAAGAAGGACCGGCCAACUACGUGCCAGCAGCCGCCGUAA
RNAcentral lists this ribosomal RNA (478 nucleotides) under uncultured bacterium. RNAcentral's name for it is "partial 16S ribosomal RNA". It matches the Rfam family "Bacterial small subunit ribosomal RNA", at positions 28 to 523 of the family's 1533-position model. The record is from RNAcentral.